AUGCGUCCGUCUCAGGACCGCCGCCCCUUCCGCCCGCCGGACCGGGUCUCGCCGCCUCCCCACCUCCACCGCCAGCAGCGCCUCCGCCAGCCGCCCCCGCACGCGCGGCAGUUCGCGGUGAUCCUCCUCCUCGCGGGCCCCACUUUCUCCUCCCCGCCGGCCACGGAGGUCGACGCCCUCGUCGCGGGCCUCCAGUCGCCGCCUCCCGACGGCCUCUCCGUCUGCUCCUCCGGCCGCCACGCCGCCCGACUCCUCUUCCGCUCCCUCCCCGCCGCCGCGGCCGCCGCGCGCGAGCUCUGGUCGCUCCGCCUCGACGGCCUCCACCUCCUCACCCCGCACCUCCCCGACGCCGCCCUCGCCUCCCACGCCUUCCCUCUCGUCGCCUCCCUCUUCGCCUCCCACGCGUCCCGCCUCCUCGACUCCGGCCUCAUCUCCCGUUCCGCCGCCCGCUCCGCUGAGCUCGCAGUCUCCAUCCAGUCUGUGAAACGCCGCCUGCGCGGUCACAAUAACUUCCGCGACUUCGAUCAGUUCAAUCUCCAGAAGAAAACGCUGGAGGCUGAGAAGGAAUUGGUAGAUGCCCGAAUUGCCGAGUACAAAGCAGCGAUGAGUUUGAUAACGCGCGCCAUGUUACGUGGGACGGAUGACGGGGAGGAGGUGGAGGAAGAAGGUGUGGAUGUGUUUGGGAUUGGGGAAGGAGAGGAUGUGGACUUUGUGAGGUUGCACAUGAUGAUGCUGCGCGAGUGCAGGACGCUCAACGAGGGGCUACCAAUCUACGCAUACCGCAGAAAGAUUCUCAAUCACAUUUUCAAUAACCAGGUUAUGAUCUUAAUUGGGGAAACUGGUUCUGGGAAAAGCACACAACUAGUUCAGUUUCUUGCUGACUCAGGUCUUUCUGGUAACGAUUCAAUUGUCUGCACACAACCUCGGAAAAUUGCUGCUUUAUCAUUGGCACAUAGAGUAGAUGAAGAAAGCAAGGGCUGCUAUGCGGACAAUUUUAUGUCGUCAUAUUCAAGCUUUUUGAAUGGUCAAAACUUCAGUUCGAAGAUUAUAUUUUGCACAGAUAGUUGUCUUUUACAUCACUGUAUGAACGAUGCGGACCUGAAUGGCAUUUCCUAUAUCAUUGUUGAUGAAGCUCAUGAAAGAAGCUUGAACACCGAUCUUCUCUUAGCUUUGAUCAAGAAGAAGCUGCUUGAUAGGUUGGAUUUGCGACUCAUUAUAAUGUCUGCCACUGCUGAUGCUAAUAGACUUGCUGAAUACUUUUAUGGCUGCCAAACAUUCCAUGUGAAAGGGAGAAAUUUUCCUGUUGAAAUUAAAUAUGUACCUGAUGUAUCAGUUGAUGCUUCUUUCAAUAUUGUGGCAAGCUCUUUGCGUGGUCCUUGUGCUGCUGCUUCUUAUGUCAAUGAUGUUAUAAGACAGGUAAGCAUCAUCCACAAGAACGAAGAAGAGGGUGCCAUCCUUGCUUUCUUGACAUCCCAGCUAGAAGUUGAAUGGGCUUGUGAAAAUUUCACCGAUGCAAGUGCGGUGGUACUUCCUAUUUAUGGAAAGCUUUCCCCUGUGGAACAGAGUCGUGUUUUCAAAAGUUAUUCUGGAAUGAGAAAAAUUAUCUUCUGCACUAAUAUAGCUGAAACAUCACUUACUAUAAAAGAAGUGAAGUAUGUUGUUGAUUCUGGACUGGUCAAGGACAGCAGAUUUGUGCCUAGCAGUGGUCUUAAUGUUCUGAAAGUCAAUUGGAUUUCCCAAAGUUCAGCUAAUCAACGCGCUGGCCGGGCAGGUCGAACAGGAGUGGGGAAGUGUUAUAGGCUUUACUCCGAAGCCGACUUCAGUAUGAUGGAACUGCAUCAAGAACCUGAAAUCCAAAAAGUUCAUCUUGGCACUGCUGUUCUAAGAAUACUUGCUUUGGGUGUUAAAGAUGCACAGAAUUUUGAGUUUGUUGAUGCCCCAAAUCCAGAAGCAAUCAAUAUGGCUGUGAAGAACCUUGAACAGUUGGGUGCUGUCAAUUGUAAUUGUAAUUGCUAUGAGCUGACUGAUACCGGACGCCACUUGGUCAAAUUGGGAAUUGAGCCAAGGCUUGGAAAAAUUAUGCUUGAUUGCUUUGGUUUUGGUUUGAGGAAGGAAGGUGUAGUUUUAGCUGCAGUUAUGGCAAAUUCUAGCAGCAUCUUUUGUAGAGUGGGCACUGAUGAGGAGAAACACAAAGCUGACCUUCAGAAAGUCCGUUUGUGUCACCAAGAUGGAGAUCUGUUCACUCUACUCGCUGUUUAUAAGAAAUGGGAGGACGGGCAUGAAAACAGGAACAUGUGGUGUUGGCAGAACAGCAUCAACGCCAAAACCAUGAGGAGGUGCCAGGAAACUAUAUCAGAACUUGAAAAUUGUCUAAAGCAUGAAUUGAAAAUUAUAAUCCCAAGUUAUUGGUGUUGGAAUCCUGAGGCUCCCAGUGAGCAUGAUAAGUUGCUAAAAAGAAUUAUCCUGUCAUCUCUUGCAGGUAAUCUUGCUAUGUUUUUAGGACAUGAAAGGUUUGGUUACCAGGUGAUUUCAACAGAUCAGAUUGUGAACCUUCAUCCCUCAUGCUCAUUGCUUAAUUAUUGUACCAAGCCAGAUUGGGUGGUGUUUUCAGAAAUCUUAUCCGUCCCAAAUCAAUAUCUGGUAUGCGUAACUGCUGUUGAUCAUGAUGCUUUGUAUGCAAUUCACCCAAUGUCUUCCAUUCAGCAACUGGAGAUACAUAAAUUGCAGAUAAAGGUGAUUAGUGGGCUUGGUAAUAACUUGCUGGGAAAAUUUGUUGGCAAAUCUGGCCAAAAUCAGCAGAAGAUCAUCUCACGUCUCAAGGAAGAUUGCAAGGAUGACCGAUUAACUGUUGAAGUUAACUUUAACAAUAACGAAGUUGUGUUAUUUGCUACCGCACAGCACAUGGAGAAGGUCUUUUGCAUUGUUAACAAUGCUUUGGAAUGUGAAGGUAAGUUGAUGAGGAACGAGUGCCUUGAGAGAAGUUUAUUUCCCGAGAGGUCAGGCAGUUCUCCUAUUGCACUAUUUGGCUCAGGUGCUGAAGUCAAACAUUUAGAACUUGGGAAGAGAUAUCUGACAGUAGAGGUUCUACAUCAAAAUGCAAGUGACAUCAAUGACAAGGAGCUUAUUAGCUUGGUGGAUAGUCUUGUCUCCGGUAUUGCUAAUUUUCAUAAAUCCAGUGGAAAUUUCCGGCUAGGCUCAGAUGAAACUAAAUGGGGGAAGAUUACAUUCCUCAAACCUGAAAAUGCUGAAGAUGCUGUCUCAAAAUUGAACGGGGUAGAAUUUCAUGGUUCCUCUCUAAGAAUAGUUCCUGUAUGUUCUCCUGAUAAUCAAGGUUUACGAUUUCCUUCAGUAAGAGCUAAAUUAUGUUGGCCACGUAAGGAAAGCAGGGGCCUUGCACUUGUAACAUGUGCCAGUGGGGAAGCUCAAUCUGUUGUAGAUGACUGCUUUGCCUUAGGAAUCGAUGGAAGGUAUAUCAGUUGUAGGGUUAGUACGAAGGAGGAGAACUGUGUAUUUGUCGAAAGAAUUCCAUUGCAUGUCUCGGAGCGGGAACUAUAUGAUGCUUUUCGCAGCACAACAACAAGGAGAAUCCUUAAUAUCCGCCUGCUCAGGGUCAAGGAAGCCACUAUAGCUAGCCCCUCUGUUUCUGUAUGCGAAGAAGUGCUGAUUAGAGAAAUUUCUCCAUUCAUGCCAAACAAGAGUUUUCCUGGAAAAAGUUUCCGUGUUGAAGUGUUCCCUCCCGAGGAAAAUGACUCGAUGAUGAGAGCAACUUUAACUUUUGAUGGAAAUCUUCAUCGAGAAGCUGCAAGAGCACUGGACCAUCUUGAAGGAAGUAUUCUUCCUUGUUGUCAACCUUGGCAGAUAAUACAGUGCAAGCAUGUAUUUCAUAGCACUAUGUCCUGUUCAGUGCGUGUUUACAAUGUUAUCAGCCAGGAAGUGACCUCUCUGCUUGAGAGCUUCCGAAGCCAAAAAGGUGUGUCUUACAAUUAUGAGAAGACCGAGAAUGGUAUUUUCUGA
This 4014-nucleotide ribosomal RNA is filed under the name Triticum aestivum (bread wheat). RNAcentral describes it as "partial small subunit ribosomal RNA". Lineage: Eukaryota; Viridiplantae; Streptophyta; Magnoliopsida; Poales; Poaceae. The record is from RNAcentral.